AGAGAAAUUCUUAAUGCAUGACCUUGUCAAUGACUUAGCCCAAAUUGCAUCUUCAAAACUUUGUAUCAGGUUGGAAGAGAGCCAAGGAUCUCAUAUGUUGGAAAAAAGUCGGCACUUAUCUUAUUCAAUGGGAAAAGGUGGUGAGUUUGAGAAAUUAACACCCCUCUACAAAUUGGAGCAGCUGAGGACAUUGCUUCCGAUAUUUUUUGAUGUCAAUCAUGACUCUCUAAGCAAGAGGGUGCAGCAUAACAUACUGCCAAGACUAAGAUCCUUAAGGGCAUUAUCAUUGUCUCAUUACAGGAUUAAGGAGUUGCCGGAUGACUUGUUUAUCAAAUUAAAGCUCCUGAGAUUUUUGGAUAUUUCUAAGACAGAGAUUAAUAAGUUGCCAGAUUCCAUUUGUGGAUUGUAUAAUUUAAAGACACUUCUCCUGUCAUCUUGUGAUUAUCUUGAGGAGCUACCACUGCAGAUGGAGAAGUUGAUCAACUUGAGUCAUCUUGACAUAAGCAACACUUCUCGCUUGAAGAUGACACUACAUCUGAGCAAGUUGAAAAGCCUCCAAGUGCUAGUGGGAGCCAAGUUUCUUCUAGAUGGUUGCUCACACCAUUACUAGAAUUUGACGAGGGAGAAUACUGGCCAAAUAUUGCUCAAAUUCCCACCAUUGUGAUUGAUCGGGAGUUCCUAUGAUGAUUAAAACAAAUGGCUCUCCAACUGAUGUAAGUUAUUCUUUUCCUUUUUUAAAAAUCUUGUUGAGCAGUCUAUUGCUCAAACCACGGCUACUGACCAAAAAUUGUUCAUAUUUUUUUUUUCUAUUUAGAAACGGGAGUUUGGAAGGAUUCACAAUGGCAAGCCUGAUUCCUGAAGUUUUCUAGGUGAGCAUGGUUGUCUCCUUUUCAAGUUAACAACUUAUUUAUAUUAAUUUUGCUGCUAUUGAUUGUCAGUUGCAAGUUUCGCAAUUCAAUUUAUGUGUUACUACAUCUGGGAACGUGCGUUGCACGUUUAUCCCAAAAUACUUUAUAUAAAUUUUGUAUUGCAAAUAACAUAUUCUAUCCCCUCUAAAUCUAUAGUAUUUACUAAAAAAAAAUUCAUCACAUAUAUCUUUAUAAAUAUAUAUAUAUAUAUAUGAUUAUUAAAUUGACUAAAAGUGUAUAGAGUAAAAAUAACUUCCAAGUAAUAGUCAUCAGUUAGAUGAGAUAAUAGAUGUAGAUAGAGAUAUAGAAAUAUUCAAGCAAAAUAAAUUAAAAUUAUUAAAUCCACAAGUUCUAUAUAAUACAGGACUAUUUUCGUCAAUAGCACACUUAUACAGACAUUAUAGAGAAGAACAAUUGAGUGUAUCAGAAAACGAUAGUGAAAGUAUAAAUUUAAUUAGUAAAUAAUCUAUGCAAGAAAUACAAAAAAGACGAAUGAAUCUCAUGCAUAUGAGAUUGGUAGUAAUCGGACUUAAAGGUUUAACUAGAAAAAAUUUAGGUACUAAAGUAUUAAUCACUUUAUAUGAUAGUAGAUGGUCAGAAUCUAAAAGAUCCAUAAUAGGUUUAACAGAAGUCGACAUGAGUAAUAAUGGAGGAAUUUUUUACUGUAGUCCAGAUUUCAUGAUAAAUUCAAAAGAAUUUGGAAAAUACAUAAAAAUAGGCAUACAAACCAAGGGUUACGAAGAAAUGAACUGUGGAAACAAUCUAUUAGUUUGUGUUGGCUUCAUAGGAAAAUUAGCAACCAACAGUAGUUCAAGGUUUAAAAUAAAAAUAGACAAUGCGGUAGGCAUAAUGGGAAAUAAAGGAAUAAAAUUAAUGAAACUUUUAAAAAUAAAUUCAGAAGAAUAUGCAGGUAGAGAAUGGAAUUUAGAAAAAUUCUAUAAAAAAGAAGUGUUAAGACCAAAUGACCACCUCACAUACACAAAUAAUAAAGGUGAGACAUCAAUCAGAUUCACUGAUUAUAAAUAUACAAAUCAAAAGAAAUAGAUGAAGAUUUAGAAGAUAAUGAAUCAACCAUAAAUAUGGAAGGAAUGAAUGUUCAGAUCAAUAAAGAAGAAGACUAUGAAGUAGAUAUAUCAAUAGCAAAAGCUAAAGAAAUACACAAGUCAAAUAAAGAAAAUUUAUUUAAAUGUAAAGGAUGUAAACUAGGAAAACUAAAAUUUUCUAUAGUAGAAAAACACUUCAAAGAGUGUAAUUUUAGAACAGACAAUUAUGGAUUUCGCCAGAAAGAAAAAACACAGGAAGAAAGUGAUGAUGAAACAACACGUAGUUUAAAAGAAUUAGAUGAAAGCGAUGAUGAAACAACACGCAGUUUAAAAGAAUUUAUGGAAACCGCUUCUUCAAGCUCAAGUCCCUUCCAAAAGACAACCCCAAUACCACCAAUAGAAUAUACUAUAGGUAAUUUACCACAACACCGUGUAUUUAGACAAGACCCGAUGACAGAACCAGAAAUGGUUAGACCUAUAGGAAUAAUAAUGCCAAUAGAAGCCCCCAUCAAACUCCAAGACAGGGGAGAUAGAUGAAAAAUACUAAAUAUAUCGGCUCAUGACCCUCAAUUAUGGAACUCAGUACUAGAUGUAUGGAAAGGAGUAGUAGUAGCAGACAACAUACACCAUUAUAGUGAAACAGAUGCAGAAACUAUGUAUAGAUACAUGGAAACCUUUCUAGGAGAAUCAAUCAAAGGAGUAUGGGAAGAAUAUAAGGUAGCUUACCCUCAAGAAUUCCAAGAACUAGUAAAUAUAGGACCAAACUCGUAUAAUUUUACUAAUAAAAUACACAGCCUGAUAACAGGAGAAGACCCAAAUAGCGGAUUAGUAGUGUUACAAAAGAAUGCACUAAUAAAAUUAGAACAACUUAGCAAAACAAAUUGGAGUCAUAUAAAGAAUUUUUUAAAAGACUAUUUUUACUAUUGCGCUAUAAGCGGUAAUGCGUUUGACCAAAGCUUGGGGAAAAAACUUUUUAACAAACUCCCUGGAGCCUUAGGAAGAGAAAUAGAGGAAAGAUGGAACAAAAGAGAGGGAGUAAUGACAAAACCCAAAUGCCAACUGGUCUAUAGGACAUAAAAUACAACAUGUCAUGGAAAUAUUACAAGAGAAAUGUACAAAUAUACAAAUACAAAAAUAAUUAAAACAAAAUGAGACUAGUUUUUGUAAGAAUAUAUAUACAACACAAAGCUAUGAUCAAAGUACACCAAAAAGAAAAUACAGAAAGACAUAUCAAAAUAACCAAGACUACAAACCUAGGAAAAGGUAUUAUCUAAGAAAAUCUACGGCAAAAAAACCUUACCUAAAUAAAGAUAGACAUGUAAGAAAACAAUAAUAAUAAUAAUAGAAUUUACAAAAAUAAGACUAUCUUGUUUUACUAUGUGGAAGUGAAGAACAUCUAGCUAAUACUUGUCCAGGUAGAAAUAAUAGUAGAACAAGAAAUGCCCAACUUAUAGAAGACUUCCAAGAAACCCUGAUAAAUGUAGAUGAAUACAAGUCAGAUAAUGAGAGCAUAUAUUUAGUAAUAAGCAUAGAUGCUAUAGAAGGAAGACAACAAGAUUCGUCUGAUUCAGAAGAAGAAACUUUAAUAAACGAGAUAGGAUUAGAAAAAUUAGACUUAAACAUGAAAGAUUUUACCUUUGUUAAUAUACAAUGCGAUCACCAAUUCUCCAAAGCAAAAGGGUUAGAUAGUCAAAAAUGCUUUAAUUGCACAUGAUACCCCAGUAAAGACAGAAGAGCUAAAUGUAUGAACUGCUAUGUAGAGGGAUGCCUUAUGUGCAUCGACAUGAUAUUUAACAUAAAAGUUAUAGACCAAACAAGAAGUACAAAAGAAAAAACAUUAAUAUCUUUAGAAAAAAGGAUUGAUAAUUUAGAGGACAGAAUAAGUAAAUUAGAAAAGGGAAAAGAAAAAUUAGAAGAGGGAACCAACCAAAACACAACGCCAAAAGAGGAAAUCGAGCUCUUAAAUGAAAAGGAGGACUAUAAAUCAUUUGAGGGAUUAAUUUGUAAUGAAGACAAGAAAAUUAAUACUAUCAAAAUAUUAACAAGAAUAAGAAUUCAAGACUACGAAAUAGAAACUUUAGCUCUAGUAGACUCUGGAUGUAAAAGUAUAAUAGAUAGAAGUAUCCUGCCUCUAGAUAUAAUAAAAUAAUUUCCAGAGCCACAAAGCGCCAUGCAAAUGGAUGGAUCUUCAAAUGUAUAUAAACAUUAUGUUAGUAAUGCUCAAAUAAGUUUUUUAAAUACAUGUGAAAACUUUUAUAAACACAUGUAUAGAUUAGAAAAAAUAUGGGUUAGAGACUUAAAUAUUAUAGUAGACUUUGUUUUAGGUUUAGACUUCUUAUUACAUAACAACGGAUGUUGUCGCCUUACUAGAGACGGAGUAAUAUUCUCUAAAAAUAUGACUCAUACCUCAAUAACAACAGAAUCGUUUCCAACGAAAUCUAGGUAUCUUAAAAAUACUGAUAAACUUAAUACAAACACUUCAAAAUGUAAUAAAGGAGAAGAAUGUAAUUAUACUAAGAUACAUGUUAUUGAAGAAGAAAUUGAAUUAUUAGAGCUAAGUUUAUCUGAUAUACAACUAGAGAAAAGUUAUAACUUAAUAGAAAUAAAUACAGAAUUUUAUAAUUUCAAAAAAGGAUUACAACAUAUAGGAGUCAUAAAAAAUCAAAAAGACCUAGAGGAGGUAAUUUCCAUCUUAGAUAAAUUAGAGAUAAUUGGAGAAAGACCUUUAAAGCACUGGGAAGCCAAUCAUAUAACUUGCAGACUGGAUAUCAUUAACCCAGAAUAUACUGUUAAAACUGAUUCAAUAGAAUCCACAAAUGAAGACCUAAAGGAAUUUGAAGAUCAGAUAAAAGAAUUACUAAAUUAGGGAGUGAUAAGAAGAUCAACUUCAAGACAUAGGUCAUCAACAUUUGUGGUAAGAAAUCAUAAUGAAAUAUUAAGAGGAAAAGCUAGAAUGGUAAUAAACUAUAAAAGACUUAAUGACAAUACCAAAAUGGAUGGAUAUAAGUUGCCAGAAAGAUCAAAAUUAAUAAAUCGAAUGCAAGGAAGAAUUUUUUUUAGUAAGUUUGAUUGUAAAUUCGAAUACUGGCAAGUCAAAAUGUAUGAAGACAGUAUAGAAUAGAAAACUUUCACUUGCCCAGAAGGACAUUUCGAAUGGUUGGUAAUGCCCUUCGAUUUAAAAACAGCUCCUCCGAUCUUUCAGAGAAAGAUGGACAAUAUAUUUAGAGAUUAUAAAAAUUUUAUUUUAGUAUAUGUAGACGAUAUCUUAGUAUUUAGUAAUAAUGCCAACAAACAUCUAAGACAUUUACAAACGGUGUUUAAAUUAUUUGUAGACAAUGGAAUUAUAAUUAGCAAAAAGAAAAUGGAAUUAUGUAAAAAACUAACAGUGGUUUCUCCUCCAACAGUCAAGUAACUAGCACUGGUUAUUCCAGCAAGAGCUCUUACUCUAACAGAACUAGUACCGUCAACUCCAAUUGUAGCAGCAGGAAUGUCUUCACCACCAGAUAAAUCUUAUAAAAUUCCUAGGGGUAGAAAUUGGAAAUGGAAAGAUAAAAUUACAACCCCAUAUAGCAAAAAAGGUUCUCGACAUGCUUGAUAAAUUAGAUAAUACUAAAGACUUACAAAAAUUUCUAGGAAUAUUAAAUUAUGCACGAAGUUUUAUAAAAGACCUAGGAAAAGUAACAGGACCCUUAUAUUCUAAAACAGGAAUUCAUAGGCAGAAGACAUUCAAUAUGGAAGACAUAAAAUUAGUACAAAAGCUUAAACAAAUGGUUAAAAAUAUACCAGAUCUAGCCCUCCCACUAAAAACUGACUGCCCAAUAGUGGAAACCGACAAAAGUCUAGAAGGAUGGGGAGCAGAAUUAAAAACAAAGAACAAUAAAUAUAUAGAAAAGAAAGACGAAAAAAUUUACGCCUAUCACAGUGAAAAAUACAAGGAAAAAGGAAACAUGAGUAGCAUAGAUGCAGAAAUUCUAGUAGUCAUAUAUGGACUAAAUAGCUUUAAAUUAUUUAUUAUUAAUAAAAAAGAAAUUUUAGUAAGAACUGACUGCAAAGCUUUUGUAAAAUUCCACCAGAAAAUAGAAGGAAAAAAUAGUAGUAAGAGAAGAUGGCUAAAUUUUUUAGACGCUACAUCAAUAUACAAUAUAUUUUUAGAAUAUAUAAACGGAAAAGAUAAUUCCUUAGCAGAUCAACUAAGCAGACUCAUGAAAACUAAUUAUUUAUUUUCAGAAUGAGUACAUGUAAGAACAAAGACAAGGCAUCCAGUUCAAGUUCAAGUAAUAGUGGGCAAAAAGACAAAGAUAUAUACUUAUAGACAUUAUUGGGAAACACUUCGUUUAGACCACAUACAAGAGAAGAAGAUGCAAGGAUAAAUACUCCUAUAGAAAGACUAUACUUUGGAAGACAAAAUUUAAUAUUUUAUCCUCCAUCUAAUUUAAGUUUCAGAGUAAAGCCAGAAACAAAAAUAGAUAAACAUCAAAGAUGUUUGAUAGACAAUCUAUGGAUAGCAUAUAACAAAAUUUUGAAAGACAAUAGCUAUUUUAUUUCAGUAUUAAACUCAGUAAGUUAUUAUUUUACGGAGAAAAAUGAAGACAAAAAGUUUAAAUUCUACGUAGUAGUUCGAGGAAAGCUAGCAGGCAUCUUCCAGACUUGGAUCGAGGUGAUAGACUCAAUUAAAGACUUUCCUACCCCAUUUUUCAAAGGAUUCAACGAUUUAAAUAAAGCACUAGACUAUGCUAGAGGAACUCUUGGGCCAAAUUAUUUCAUAAGCCCAGCUUUAAGACAAACUUCAAGACCUUUCCUGCAAUACAAUAUUCGAAAGGAUACUGACAAGAUAAUCUUCUGCGAUCAUUGUUCUUCAAUGACUGAAGGAUUCAAAAUACUAAACCAGACAAUUGAGAAACUAGAGACUGAGAAAGGGGAACUGACACAACAUAUCCACUCAUUACAAGAAAAAAUAAGGUUCUUCCUUGGAAAUACUAAUCAAACCAUACCAUUACAAAUACAAGACUACUCAAAAGGACCAAAGAGUUCUCCAUCUCAUCUUAAAAUGGAUAAGACGGGUGUUCAUCCUCCAACGAAUGUAGAAAGAGCUAUUGUAUCAGCUAAAUGUACAACUAGUCCCGUUCAAAUGGUAGCGGGUAAAGAUUCAUCAAAUCCGUUGAUGGCUGACACUUUGCCAAAAAGUGUUAAAAACAAAUUUGAAAAUAUUUGUUAAAAACAAACUUAAUUUUUUUGAAAUUGGGGGGUGGGGGGUCGCGGGUAGGGAGUGGNNNNNNNNNNNNNNNNNNNNNNNNNNNNNNNNNNNNNNNNNNNNNNNNNNNNNNNNNNNNNNNNGGGGAGGGGGUCGAGGGUAGGGGUGGGGUGGGAUGAAAAAUAAAAAAUUUAAAUUGGAAAUAUUUUUUUAAAAAAAAUUAUUUUUUUUGUGGGGGGGAGGGGUAGGGGGUGAGGUAAAAAAAUUUAAAAUUGAAGGCUUUAAAUUUAUUUUUUUCAACAAAAAAAUAAUAAUUGUAAUUUGAAGUUGGAGAGAGUUUUGGAAAACGUUUUUCUUAAUUUUUUGAAAGUAAGUCAUUUUCCUUAAAUUUGAGAAAAAUGAGUUAAUUUGAAAAUCAUUCUCCAAAACGUUUUACCCAACCAAAUAUGAUAAAAUUGAAAUACAUUUUCCGAAAAUGUUUUCCUUCAUACCAAACACACCCAAUAUGAUGAAUCAAUGAUGGAUUAUGGUGAAAUUUACUUUUUUCAUAGAAAAAUAUCAAAGAAUUAUACUAUUCAUGUUUGAUAAAAUAUCCUUCAAUAAGACCUGGUGAAUAUCAUAUGUCUCUGUUUCGAUGCAUCUUAUAAAUCCUAUUGAAAUUCUGUGAGGUUGCUCGUGUCCUUUGGUUGGUGGGCUUAAUUUUUUGAACUGUGAAUGCAUCUUAACAUAAUUUUGAUUUUUGAUGGGUUCUCCAAAUCUAACAAUUUUAUUUGGGAUCCCUUUUUUUAGGGGGAAAGUCUCAAAUGGGAAAUAAAGUUGGCACUUUGAAGAUUUUGAAGCUAGAAUUUGUGAGCUCUCUCUUUGUCUACACAAAUUUCAAACGGCCUGUUAUAGCUUCAAGGUAAUCGUCUUCGGAAAUUUGAAUUCUUUUGGUUCUUAUUUUAAUCUUGCACAAAAGUGUAACAUUUACCCUUUGUUUGGAUCAUUGUUACCCAUUAUAUUGUAUCGUUACUAUACCUACAAUGUUUGUUUUGAUUAUUACUUAAAAUAUAUUGUAUUGUAUUGUUAAAUUUCGUUGUUACGUAACAAUGAAAACCUCUAUUUUAUGGAACAACCAAUUUGGUGUGUUCCCAAUUGUUACUUAAUUUCUUUUUCCAAUUAUAUCUUUUACAUAAUAUUUCAAAAUACUAUUUUAUCCUUUACCUUAUAUUAUUUAAUUCUAAUCAAACCUCCUACUCUACAUAUAUACAAAUGGCUUACAUAUACCAUUUUCCUCUAACAGAGAUGAAAAAAAUUAAUUUUAGUUUAAUUUUUUUUAAAAAAAAAAAAACUAUAAUCCCAUAUGAGUAUAUUUAAUCCUCCUCAAACAUAUAUUUUUUUUGUUUCAAUGACUAAUUUAAAUUUAUUAUUUUAAUGGUCAAAUUUAUUUAUGUUUCACUAAUAUUCUUGUAAAACUUAUUAUUGUUUACAUCUCCGCUUUAUUCAAAUAGGGCGAAACGUCCUGAUGACUCAAAAAAUAAACAAUUGAUUCAAUUUUAAAUUUUUUUUAAGAAAAUAAGAAUUUUAAAGGAGUCACCACCUAAUUUUAGGAAACCAAUUAAAUGAUCUACGAAACCAAGAAAUUUUAGGUAAGGGGUUCAAGUUAAUUCGAAGGAAAAGUGUUAGGCAUCAUUCGAAAUUCACAAUUGUGAGUUCCGACCGAAUUCAUUUUUUCAAAUUGAGGAGGAAGUAAAAAUAGUAUACAAAUAUAACAAACAUACAAUAUACACAAGUAAUAUGAGAAACGACCUAAUAUUUGCCUAUCAUCAAUAAUAUACAUAAUAAUGAUUAUAAUAUUCGAACUUUAUUCGAAUGGCUUCGAUGAGAAACGACUUCGGGGUACCUAUAAAGACACUUAAUAAAAGUGUUAAUACUAAAUAUAUAUGAAUAAAAAUAAAUAAAGCAAAUAAUAACUUAAAAAUAAAAACUCAUCUUAUUAACAUAGGAGGCCUUAGAAAUAGACUGUAAUUUCUUCAUCGGCCAAUUUUAACAAAUAAAAUAUACAAACUUAAAUUAAAUUUUCGUCUUUUGCAAUGUAGAGGCCUCCAAAACCGACGGAAAUUUUUUUUCAUUAGGCAAAUUAUAGCAUUUACUUAACAUGAAUUAAGGAAAUAAUCCUAUAGUAAAAUUGACAAAACCCUUCGGGGUGGCCCAGUGGUUUGGGCUUGGGACUUCCAUGUUGGAGGUCUCAAGUUCGAAACCCCUUGCCAGCGAAAGCAAGGGUUUGCCCUCUGGGUCGAGCUCAUCGCACCGGGCUUGCCUAGUGCGGGUUACCUCUCCUAUGUGGUUUGCGAGCUAUUGCAUAAGAGCGGGGGUUUUACCCUGUGCGCAUCCAAAGGGUAGCAGCUGCGGGUUUCCCUUGUCAUCAAAAAAAAUAAAAUUGACAAACAUUAUAUUUAAACUAGCUCAAAAAGAAUAACAAAUUAAUAACGGACAAUGCACAGAUAAUGAUAAAAUAAUUUCGACACUUUUCUAAAAAAAACAACUACUAGUGCUAACAACAUCAAAGAAAUAAAUAAAUUAAGAAGAAUAAUGGAAGUAAAAUCUGUAAUCUAAACAAAAAUAAAAAUAAAAAAUGAAACCGAACACCACAAUCACAAUAGUAUCUAAAUGAAGUAUAAUCUGUAACCGAUUAAAAUAAUAAUAACAAUAAUAAACAAAAGAGGAAACAAAGGCAUAAUAAUAACAAUAAAAUAAAUCCACAACUUAGAGAAAAUUACAAUACUCAACCUUCUUUAAUUAAUAAUUAGAAAUUACCAUUAUGUGCCACUUUAUACGAAUUGAGAGAAUUAACCACAAAUAAAUAGACUAAUCAAGAAUAGCUAACUAUAGUAUCCAAAAUAAACUAAACAAAAAUAAUGGAUUCGAAAGCACAUUCAUAAACUGUAAACGUAAACAAUAAUAAAAAGAAAUCAAGGAAUAACAGAUACAAAAAUUACCGAUCCCGGUCUGGUUCCUGGCGACUUCGUUGUUUUGAGCUACUAUUCGCCGGAGUUGUUUUGCCAGAGUUCGGAAUGUUGGUUGUUGUUAUUGUUACCUCCUGGAGGAGCUCGUGGGUGGAGCUGGUGUGGUCAGCCUCUGGUUUCGAUGAGUUGGAGCUUGGAGCUCACUGGCUGUUGUUCGCCUGGGCUUCGUGGGUUUUGAGCUACUUCUUGCUGGGGUUGCUGGUUCAACGAGCAAAGGGGAGAACGAGGAUGGGGUUUUGGGUUGGUUUCGCCGGAAAAAGGGUGAAGAGAGUUGGGGUCUUAGUGGUGGUUUUGGUGGUGAUUUUGGCUGAAGGGUGGUGGCGUUUGGGUGGGUUGGAGAGCUGCUGGUUGCAGCAGAGAAAACAGGAGGGGUUUUGGGUCUGUUUGGUUGGCUGAUUUUGUGGAUUUGGGGUCUAUUUGGAUCGUGGUUUUGCCGGAAAAAGAGGUGAACGGAGAUGGUUUGUUGGGUUGGAGUUUCUCGGAGGUUGUUUGGUUGUUGUUAAUGGUUGUUUUCGGUGGCUUUUGGUCUUUGGUGGUGGCUGGAUUGUUGCUGGAAACGAAAAGGGGGGUGAGCACUGGCUCGCCGGAAAUGGAGUUUGAGUGGUGAUGAGGAAGGAGGGUGGCGGCAGCUUUGACAAGAUGAUAGAAAAAUCGUUUUUGGUUUCAGUCAUUUUGAAAUUUUUCACCACUUGGACUAAAAAUAUUGUUCAUCCUCUUCACUUAAUGAAUAAGCUAUUGUUUAUAUAGAAAAUUGAAAAUUAUCUAUAGUAUAAUACGAUUAUCUUAAAAUCAUGGGCUGAAACCAUUAGUUAAAUAAAAUAUUUGUAUAUAAAUCUUAUUUAUAUUUGAAUCAAUUUUUAGACAGUGCAAAAUAUCAAAAUUAAUAUUAGCAAAUGUAACAAAUAAAAAUGAAUAUUAUUAAAAAAAAGGAAAGUAAUGAACGUAACAAAUGACAUGUAUAAAGUGCAAUUUAAUAGAAAUAACUAUUUAAUCAAGAUGAACAAAUAUUUGAACGUAUUUAACCAGCUAUGACAAAAAAUAAUGAAAUUAAAAUUAACUGAUAAAAAAUCCUAAAUUUUGACAAAUAAAAAUAAUUAUCGAUAAACUUAUUUAAAAUUAUAAAAAAUGUAUUUUGAACAAUUAAAUAAAUAAAACUUAAAAGUUACGAAUUUUGAAAAUGUUAGGUCAAAAUUGGGUGUCAACAAUUAUAGAUGACCUUUUUUUUUUCUUCAAAUACAAAAAUUAAAUUACAAUAUAGACAAAAAAAAAAUUGUUUUAAAUUAUAAUAUAGCUGCAAAAAAAUAGUUUUAAUUUUUUUUUCUUUACACCAAGGAAUGAAAGAAAAAAUAAAAUAAGAAUAAGAAACUAAAAUAAUGAAAAUCAAAGAAGUCAAAAAAUAAUUUAUGUAUGAAAAAAAUUGAAAUAUACCUUGAACUUUGCAGAAGAAUCUUAUAUAUCCCUAAAUGAUUUUUAAAACAAUUAAAAGUCAAAAAUAUAAAUUUAAAAUUAAUUUUUUCACUUCCGUUAAAUGAAGAUAUAUGUGAGCUCAUUUUGUAACGAUAGGGUAUAUGUGAGCCGUUUAUAUAACAACAAAGGUAUAUAUGAGUCACUUUCAUAACGAGGACAUAUCAACUCUAAAUAAAAAAAUUGACAGGUAUAUCAGACCCUUUUCCCUAGAAAAAAUAAUACCUUAGAGAAAAGGAAAAUGGAACAGAAUCCAAUUCUUCACAAUUCUAAAACGUAUUCAUGAUAUGCUAGGCCAAACUAAGCACUACAAUGAGCUGUUGAAAAAUGGACAAGUGCACAAAGCAAAAAGUAACGAAUAGACAUAAAGCAAAAGAUACCUUCCUCAAUUAUUCAAUUAGUGGAGUCAUACUUUUUGAAAAGAGAAACGAGGACAGUUUUGCUUCUUGUAGAUUAGCUGAAACAUAGUUGUACUAAUUUCAAGCAAUCACUGAUCAUUCUUGUUUGCAAAUUACUCUCAACAUUCAACAGGUAAAGUAAGUUCUAUCUUAGUAGUUGAAGAUAGAAAAAUUUAUCUUCUCAUCAAAAUCAUUUUGUGUUUCCUUGUUUUGAUUUGCAGAUUUCAGAAAUGGAGGUUGGCUUAGCAGUUGGUGGUGCAUUUCUUCUCUUCAGCUUUGAAUGUUCUCUUUGAUAGGCUUGCUCCUCAGGGUGAUCUUCUCAACAUGUUUCACAAGCAUAAGCAUCAUGUUCGGCUCUUCAAGAAGCUGAAAAUGACUUUACUUGGUCUUCAAGCUGUUCUAAGUGAUGCAGAGAAUAAGCAGGCAUCAAAUCAAUUUGUGAGCCAGUGGCUUGAUGAGCUUCGAGAUGCUGUGGACAUUGCUGAAAACUUAAUUGAACAAGUCAAUUAUGAAGUUUUGAGGCUUAAGGUUGAAGGUCAGCAUCAGAAUCUUGCAGAAGCAAGCAAUCAGCAAGUAAGUGACCUUGACCUGUGCUUAAGUGAUGAUUUUUUUCUUAACAUAAAGGAGAAGUUGGAAGACACCAUGGAAACAUUGGAGGAUUUGGAAAAGCAAAUUGGCCGCCUUGGCUUAAACGAGCAUUUUGGUUCGACUAAACAAGAAACUAGAACACCUUCAACUUCUUUGGUUAAUGAAUCUGAUAUCUUUGGUAGGCAGAGCGAAACAGAGGAUUUGAUUGACCGUUUAUUGUCUGAAGAUGCAAGUGGAAAAAAUCUGACUGUAGUUUCUAUUGUUGGAAUGGGUGGCGUGGGUAAGACAACACUUGCUAAAGCGGUUUACAAUGAUGAGAGGGUGAAGAACCAUUUUUGUUUGAAAGCUUGGUAUUGUGUUUCUGAGGCAUAUGAUGCUUUCAGAAUAACAAAAGGGUUACUUCAAGAAAUUGGCUCAUUUGACUUAAAGGAUGACAACAAUCUUAAUCAGCUACAAGUCAAAUUGAAGGAAAGCUUAAAGGGAAAGAAGUUUCUUAUUGUAUUGGAUGAUGUGUGGAAUGAAAACUACAAUGAGUGGGAUGACUUGAGAAAUAUUUUUGUACACGGAGAUAUAGGAAGUAUGAUAAUUGUAACGACACGUAAAGAGCGUGUUGCCUUGAUGAUGGGUAGUGGGGCAAUCAACGUGGGGACUCUGUCUGAUGAAGUCUCUUGGGAACUAUUCAAACGACAUUCACUAGAAAACAGGGAUCCUGAGGAACAUCCAGAACUUGUAGAGGUUGGAAAACAAAUUGCACACAAGUGCAAAGGAUUGCCUUUAGCUCUAAAGGUACUUGCUGGUAUUUUACGCUGCAAAUCAGAGGUGGAUGAGUGGAGAGACAUUUUUGAGAAGUGAAAUAUGGGAGCUUCCAAGUUGUUCGAAUGGUAUAUUACCAGCGCUAAUGUUGAGCUACAAUGAUCUUCCUGCACAUUUGAAGCAAUGUUUUGCUUAUUGUGCAAUAUAUCCUAAAGAUUAUGAAUUUUGCAAAGACCAAGUUAUUCACUUGUGGAUUGCUAAUGGUCUUGUACAUCAGUUGCAUUAUGGUAACCAAUACUUUCUCGAGUUGAGAUCAAGAUCACUGUUCGAAAGGGUCCCAAAGUCUGCAUGGAAACUGGAAGUAUUCUUAAUGCAUGACCUUGUCAAUGAUUUGGCCCAAAUUGCAUCUUCAAAUCUUUGUAUAAGGUUGGAAGAGAACAAAGGAUCGCAUAUGUUGGAACAAUGUCGGCACAUGUCCUAUUCAAUAGGAGAAGGUGGUGAGUUUGAGAAAUUGAAAUCACUCUUUAAAUCAGAGCAGCUGAGGACAUUACUUCCAAUCAAUAUGCCUUUCUAUUGCCAAAAUAAGCUAAGCAAGAGGGUGCUGCAUAACAUUUUGCCAAGACUAACAUCCUUAAGGGCAUUAUCGUUGUUACGCUAUGAAAUUGUUGAGUUGCCAAAUGACUUAUUUAUCGAAUUAAAGCUCCUGAGAUUUUUGGAUAUUUCUCGGACAAAGAUUAAAAGGUUGCCAGAUUCCAUUUGUGUGUUGUAUAACUUAGAGACACUUCUCCUUUCAUCUUGUGAUUAUCUUGAG
RNAcentral lists this long non-coding RNA (14161 nucleotides) under Solanum tuberosum (potato). Its description in RNAcentral is "long non-coding RNA (STUB_LNC011007)". Lineage: Eukaryota; Viridiplantae; Streptophyta; Magnoliopsida; Solanales; Solanaceae. The record is from RNAcentral.